GACGAACGCUGGCGGCGUGCUUAACGCAUGCAAGUCGAACGGAAAGGCCCUGCUUUUGUGGGGUGCUCGAGUGGCGAACGGGUGAGUAACACGUGAGUAACCUGCCCUUGACUUUGGGAUAACUUCAGGAAACUGGGGCUAAUACCGGAUAGGAGCUCCUGCUGCAUGGUGGGGGUUGGAAAGUUUCGGCGGUUGGGGAUGGACUCGCGGCUUAUAAGCUUGUUGGUGGGGUAGUGGCUUACCAAGGCUUUGACGGGUAGCCGGCCUGAGAGGGUGACCGGCCACAUUGGGACUGAGAUACGGCCCAGACUCCUACGGGAGGCAGCAGUGGGGAAUAUUGCACAAUGGGCGGAAGCCUGAUGCAGCAACGCCGCGUGCGGGAUGACGGCCUUCGGGUUGUAAACCGCUUUCGCCUGUGACGAAGCGUGAGUGACGGUAAUGGGUAAAGAAGCACCGGCUAACUACGUG
This 468-nucleotide ribosomal RNA is filed under the name uncultured bacterium. RNAcentral's name for it is "partial 16S ribosomal RNA". It matches the Rfam family "Bacterial small subunit ribosomal RNA", at positions 28 to 507 of the family's 1533-position model. The record is from RNAcentral.